AUGAACGCUGGCGGCGUGCCUAAUCCAUGCAAGUCGAGCGAACGGACGAGAAGCUUGCUUCUCUGAUGUUAGCGGCGGACGGGUGAGUAACACGUGGAUAACCUACCUAUAAGACUGGGAUAACUUCGGGAAACCGGAGCUAAUACCGGAUAAUAUUUUGAACCGCAUGGUUCAAAAGUAAAAGACGGUCUUGCUGUCACUUAUAGAUGGAUCCGCGCUGCAUUAGCUAGUUGGUAAGGUAACGGCUUACCAAGGCAACGAUGCAUAGCCGACCUGAGAGGGUGAUCGGCCACACUGGAACUGAGACACGGUCCAGACUCCUACGGGAGGCAGCAGUAGGGAAUCUUCCGCAAUGGGCGAAAGCCUGACGGAGCAACGCCGCGUGAGUGAUGAAGGUCUUCGGAUCGUAAAACUCUGUUAUUAGGGAAGAACAUAUGUGUAAGUAACUGUGCACAUCUUGACGGUACCUAAUCAGAAAGCCACGGCUAACUACGU
This 495-nucleotide ribosomal RNA is filed under the name uncultured bacterium. RNAcentral describes it as "partial 16S ribosomal RNA". It matches the Rfam family "Bacterial small subunit ribosomal RNA", at positions 29 to 506 of the family's 1533-position model. The record is from RNAcentral.